This 315-nucleotide long non-coding RNA is filed under the name Carica papaya (papaya). Its description in RNAcentral is "long non-coding RNA (CPAP_LNC014370)". The record is from RNAcentral. Lineage: Eukaryota; Viridiplantae; Streptophyta; Magnoliopsida; Brassicales; Caricaceae.
GGCGGUCGGCCUCUGGUUCGUCUUCUCCGGCGAGCGGCUGGCGGCUAGGGUUUGUGGUCUGGUGUGGGGGUUCUAUUUAUAACCCCUUGCCUUUUGAUCACAGCCGUUCAUUUCGUUUUAAUCUGGGCCGUUCGUUUUUGAUUGAAUCUGGGCCGUCCGUGCGUUUGAAUCUGGACCGUCCGAUCGCGCGAUUGAUCUGGGCCGUCGGAUCGCACCCACGCGGAUCGCCAACGUGGCUCCUUUUGGAGUGACGCGAUCUUGCCACGUGGCAGGCCCCGGUUGGCCGGGACUACUGACCGGGCCUGCUGACGUGGC